GCUGGGUGUGGUGGUGCGCACCUGUGGUCCCAGCUACUUGGGAGGCUGAAGUGGGAGGAUCGCUUGAGCCCAGAAGGCAGAGAUUGCAGUGAGCCCAGAUGGUGCCACUGCACUCCAGCCUGGGCAACAGAGUGAGACCUCAUUUCAA
Molecule: unclassified non-coding RNA, 148 nt
Organism: Macaca fascicularis (crab-eating macaque)
Lineage: Eukaryota; Metazoa; Chordata; Mammalia; Primates; Cercopithecidae
Rfam family: Metazoan signal recognition particle RNA
About the family: The signal recognition particle (SRP) is a universally conserved ribonucleoprotein. It is involved in the co-translational targeting of proteins to membranes.
Source: Ensembl